This 279-nucleotide unclassified non-coding RNA is filed under the name Hevea brasiliensis (rubber tree). The record is from RNAcentral. Lineage: Eukaryota; Viridiplantae; Streptophyta; Magnoliopsida; Malpighiales; Euphorbiaceae.
GGAAAGUUUUAUUGCAAAAAAUUCGUGAUGUAAUAAACUUUUGCUAUAGUUUAUUUCGAUAGCUUGAAGACUAGCUAUUACAACUAAAAUGAGUAAUGGUGAUAGAGGUACGCUGAUAACGUAUACACCUGAAAAGUUCUUAAACAAAAUGAGCCAUGGAUUUGAAUCUUUGCAACUAGUGAUAACAAAUUUCGAGCAUUUCGGCCUUUCCUCAAGCGAGAAACCCCAGUCUUUCUCCAUUCUUUUUGGCCAAUCUGAUCAGUCCUUGCCUUUGUUUUG